CCUACGGGCGGCAGCAGUGAGGAAUAUUGGUCAAUGGGCGGAAGGCUGAACCAGCCAAGCCGCGUGAAGGAUGAAGGCCCUACGGGUUGUAAACCUCUUUUGCCGGGGAGCAACGGGCGCCACGUGUGGCGCCACUGAGAGUACCCGGAGAAAAAGCAUCGGCUAACUCCGUGCCAGCAGCCGCGGUAAUACGGAGGAUGCGAGCGUUAUCCGGAUUUAUUGGGUUUAAAGGGUGCGUAGGCGGGCCUUUAAGUCAGUGGUAAAAUUGAGGGGCUCAACCCCUUCCCGCCAUUGAAACUGGCGGCCUUGAGUGGAAGAGAAGUAGGCGGAAUGCGUGGUGUAGCGGUGAAAUGCAUAGAUAUCACGCAGAACCCCGAUUGCGAAGGCAGCAUGCCGGCUUCCGACUGACGCUGAAGCACGAAAGCGUGGGGAUCGAACAGGAUUAGAUACCCCAGUAGUC
This 460-nucleotide ribosomal RNA is filed under the name uncultured bacterium. RNAcentral describes it as "partial 16S ribosomal RNA". It matches the Rfam family "Bacterial small subunit ribosomal RNA", at positions 338 to 795 of the family's 1533-position model. The record is from RNAcentral.